UACGGGAGGCAGCAGUGGGGAAUAUUGCACAAUGGGCGCAAGCCUGAUGCAGCCAUGCCGCGUGUAUGAAGAAGGCUUUCGGGUUGUAAAGUACUUUCAGUCGUGAGGAAGGUGUUAAGGUUAAUAACCUUAGCAAUUGACGUUAGCGACAGAAGAAGCACCGGCUAACUCCGUGCCAGCAGCCGCGGUAAUACGGAGGGUGCGAGCGUUAAUCGGAAUUACUGGGCGUAAAGGGCACGCAGGCGGUUAAUUAAGUUGGAUGUGAAAUCCCCGGGCUUAACCUGGGAAUGGCAUUCAAGACUGGUUAGCUAGAGUCUUGUAGAGGGGGUAGAAUUCCAUGUGUAGCGGUGAAAUGCGUAGAGAUGUGGAGGAAUACCGGUGGCGAAGGCGGCCCCUGGGACAAAGACUGACGCUCAUGUGCGAAAGCGUGGGGAGCAAACAGGAUUAGAUACC
This 453-nucleotide ribosomal RNA is filed under the name uncultured bacterium. Its description in RNAcentral is "bacterial SSU rRNA". It matches the Rfam family "Bacterial small subunit ribosomal RNA", at positions 340 to 786 of the family's 1533-position model. The record is from RNAcentral.